GAUGAACGCUGGCGGCGUGCCUAAUACAUGCAAGUCGAGCGAACGGACGAGAAGCUUGCUUCUCUGAUGUUAGCGGCGGACGGGUGAGUAACACGUGGAUAACCUACCUAUAAGACUGGGAUAACUUCGGGAAACCGGAGCUAAUACCGGAUAAUAUUUUGAACCGCAUGGUUCAAAAGUAAAAGACGGUCUUGCUGUCACUUAUAGAUGGAUCCGCGCUGCAUUAGCUAGUUGGUAAGGUAACGGCUUACCAAGGCAACGAUGCAUAGCCGACCUGAGAGGGUGAUCGGCCACACUGGAACUGAGACACGGUCCAGACUCCUACGGGAGGCAGCAGUAGGGAAUCUUCCGCAAUGGGCGAAAGCCUGACGGAGCAACGCCGCGUGAGUGAUGAAGGUCUUCGGAUCGUAAAACUCUGUUAUUAGGGAAGAACAUAUGUGUGAGUAACUGUGCACAUCUUGACGGUACCUAAUCAGAAAGCCACGGCUAACUACGUG
RNAcentral lists this ribosomal RNA (497 nucleotides) under uncultured bacterium. RNAcentral describes it as "partial 16S ribosomal RNA". It matches the Rfam family "Bacterial small subunit ribosomal RNA", at positions 28 to 507 of the family's 1533-position model. The record is from RNAcentral.